Molecule: ribosomal RNA, 253 nt
Filed under: uncultured bacterium
Lineage: Bacteria
Description: partial 16S ribosomal RNA
Rfam family: Bacterial small subunit ribosomal RNA
Source: RNAcentral
UACGUAGGUGGCGAGCGUUAUCCGGAAUGAUUGGGCGUAAAGGGUGCGUAGGCGGCCUGCUAAGUCUGGAGUGAAAGGUACCGGCUCAACCGGAGUAGUGCAUUGGGAACUGGGAGACUUGAGUGCAGAAGAGGAGAGUGGAACUCCAUGUGUAGCGGUGAAAUGCGUAGAUAUAUGGAAGAACACCAGUGGCGAAAGCGGCUCUCUGGUCUGUAACUGACGCUGAGGUUCGAAAGCGUGGGUAGCAAACAGG